This 497-nucleotide ribosomal RNA is filed under the name uncultured bacterium. RNAcentral describes it as "partial 16S ribosomal RNA". It matches the Rfam family "Bacterial small subunit ribosomal RNA", at positions 28 to 507 of the family's 1533-position model. The record is from RNAcentral.
GAUGAACGCUGGCGGCGUGCCUAAUACAUGCAAGUCGAGCGAACAGACGAGGAGCUUGCUCCUCUGACGUUAGCGGCGGACGGGUGAGUAACACGUGGAUAACCUACCUAUAAGACUGGGAUAACUUCGGGAAACCGGAGCUAAUACCGGAUAAUAUAUUGAACCGCAUGGUUCAAUAGUGAAAGACGGUUUUGCUGUCACUUAUAGAUGGAUCCGCGCCGCAUUAGCUAGUUGGUAAGGUAACAGCUUACCAAGGCAACGAUGCGUAGCCGACCUGAGAGGGUGAUCGGCCACACUGGAACUGGGACACGGUCCAGACUCCUACGGGAGGCAGCAGUAGGGAAUCUUCCGCAAUGGGCGAAAGCCUGACGGAGCAACGCCGCGUGAGUGAUGAAGGUCUUCGGAUCGUAAAACUCUGUUAUUAGGGAAGAACAAAUGUGUAAGUAACUAUGCACGGCUUGACGGUACCUAAUCAGAAAGCCACGGCUAACUACGUG